RNAcentral lists this ribosomal RNA (483 nucleotides) under uncultured bacterium. RNAcentral's name for it is "partial 16S ribosomal RNA". It matches the Rfam family "Bacterial small subunit ribosomal RNA", at positions 28 to 507 of the family's 1533-position model. The record is from RNAcentral.
GACGAACGCUGGCGGCGUGCUUAACACAUGCAAGUCGAACGCUGAAGCUCAGCUUUUGUUGGGUGGAUGAGUGGCGAACGGGUGAGUAACACGUGAGUAACCUGCCCCCUUCUUUGGGAUAACGCCCGGAAACGGGUGCUAAUACUGGGUAUUCACUGGUCUUCGCAUGGGGGUUGGUGGAAAGGGUUUUUCUGGUGGGGGAUGGGCUCGCGGCCUAUCAGCUUGUUGGUGGGGUGAUGGCCUACCAAGGCUUUGACGGGUAGCCGGCCUGAGAGGGUGACCGGUCACAUUGGGACUGAGAUACGGCCCAGACUCCUACGGGAGGCAGCAGUGGGGAAUAAUGCACAAUGGGCGCAAGCCUGAUGCAGCGACGCCGCGUGAGGGAUGGAGGCCUUCGGGUUGUGAACCUCUUUCGCUCAUGGUCAAGCCGCAACAAUGGUUGUGGUGAGGGUAGUGGGUAAAGAAGCGCCGGCUAACUACGUG